Molecule: ribosomal RNA, 468 nt
Filed under: uncultured bacterium
Lineage: Bacteria
Description: partial 16S ribosomal RNA
Rfam family: Bacterial small subunit ribosomal RNA
Source: RNAcentral
GACGAACGCUGGCGGCGUGCUUAACACAUGCAAGUCGAACGGAAACGCCGUGCGUUUGUGCGCUGCUCGGGGGGCGAACGGGGGAGUAACACGUGAGUAACCUGCCCUUCACUUUCGGAUAACGUCAGGAAGCUGGAGCUAAUACCGUAUAGGAUCUCCCGCUGCAGGGUGGGGGGUGGAUAGUUUCGGCGGUUGGGGAUGGACUCGCGGCUUAUGGGCUUGUUGGUGGGCUAGUGGCUUACCAAGGCUUUGACGGGUAGCCGGCCUGAGAGGGGGACCGGGCACAUUAGGCCUGAGAUACGGCGCAGACUGGUACGGGAGGCAGGAGUGGGGAAUAUUAUACAGUGGGAGGGAGCCUGAUGCGGCAACGCCGCGUGUGGGAAGACGGCCUUCGGGUAGUGAACCGCUUUCGCUUGAGACGAAGCGUGAGUGACGGUACCGGGUAAAGAAGCACCGGCUAACUACGUG